CUGCAGUGUACCUAGGACUCCAGUUCAACACUGUGAAGUAUCUGGUUAGUUAAUUAUGAGAGAGCAUGGAGAGGUUGCAAGGUGCCAGGUAACCCAUAUGUAGCUGUAGUACAUACCAUCACGUCAGUAUGACCACAUAUUAUUCUGGCAUAAUUUUUUACACUGGAUGCUCUGAACCCACAUCAUUCUCUAAGGUUACUAGCCUGUGUCAAAAUAGCAACGCAGAACAUCAUGC
Pelobates cultripes (western spadefoot toad) is the source of this 235-nucleotide non-coding RNA. The record is from the annotation of a GenBank genome assembly. NCBI's taxonomy places the organism in Eukaryota, Metazoa, Chordata, Amphibia, Anura, Pelobatidae.